UAGAGUAUCUGAUUUAGAUUCUAGUUUAUUUAUAAAAUUAGAAUCAAAUGCAUAUCUCCUAAUAUUAUUAUACAUUGAUGAUAUGAUAAUAACUGGAGAUAAUGAAUUAGAAAUUUCUAAUCUAAGGAAAGACUUGUCUGUUCGUUUUGAGAUGAAAAAUUUGGGGCAAAUUGGAUGUUUUCUUGGUCUGGAAGUGGAAAAAUUAGAUCGAGGCUACUUUGUUUCUCAUAAAGGUUGUGCGGAGAGUCUCUUAGAAUGUUUCAUCAUAAGGGAGUCGAAAGAAAAGGCUACUCCAAUGGAGCUAAAUCUCAAGUUGAAGAAGGAUGAAGGCGAGGCUUUGAAGGAUGUGAUAAAGUUCUGACAACUAGUUGGAAGUUUGAUUUAUCUGACUAUCACAAGGCCAGCAAUAUCUUACUUUGUUGGUGUCGUUUCUCAAUUUAUGCAAAAUCCAACAACUUCUCAGUUAAAUGCUGCAAAGAGGAUUUUGCGCUAUGUGAAAGGAUCUCUUAGUCAUGGACUUUGGUACAAGAGGUGUGAUACUUUUUUAUUGAGUGGAUUUACUAAUGCAAAUUGCCCAGGUGAUACACAUGAUCGUCGCUCGAUUUCAGGUUACUGUUUUAGUAUCGGGUCAACAGUGGUGCCUUGGUGCAGCAAUGUGCAAAUCAAGUGUGACAACGAAAGUGCCAUCAAACUUGCAUCAAAUCCAGUUUUUCAUGCUCGAACGAAGCAUGUUGAGAUCCGUCAUCACUUUGUUCAUGAGAAAGUCUUAAGUGAAGAGAUUGAACUGACAACUGUUCGCACCAACUCUCAAGUUGUGGAUAUAUUCACUAAAGCUUUGGAGAAGUCUAAGUUUCAAUACUUUCGAGAUGCUCUGGGAGUAGUUCAUCGUGAUCUUGCACUAAGGGGGAGUGUAACAAAUUAGUGCAACUUACUGUCUUAUUUAGUUUACUGCAUUUACCAGGUCAAAAUAAUUACUAGGUGAGGUUUGUUCACCUUAUAAAGUGGCUCGAAAGUUAGUAAUUUUAGGAGUAAGUUAGGUGGAAUAAAACGUUAAAUUUAGGAGUUAUAUUUGUAGUAGGAGUUUAUAUAUACAGAGUAAAGUUGCUCUGUUUUCUCUUGUAAUUUCAGUCGCCAUAUUUUCUAUUCAAGAAAAAGCUUUCGGCUGUUUUAUUUUCCUUCACUGUUCUUGUUCUACAUCUUCUCCUGCUCAAUACUUUUGUCAUAUCACAUUCUAGAAAGGCAUCUAUAUAUGCCCGAUUAUGUAUAUGUAUACAUCAAACUAUGUACAGUAUUUGCUUCCAGAUGUUAUGCUAAGUGUUCAUAUAUUUUGAUGUAAUUACAAGGUGGAUUCACAAAAUAUCACCUGCGGUCAAGGUUGCUCCAAGUUUUUAGCACUGAACGGAAUAGUUGUGAUUUCAUGAGUGACUAUUUACCUUUUUGGUGUAAAGAGGAAUUUGCAGAUGAAGCAGAAUUAACACUUAUUCUUAGAUUCUCAAUCUAUACAAGUAGUACUUAGCCUCUUAGAAUCCGUGUAAGUUUGGAAAGGGAUUUUCCUUUUGGUUUCUUGCUCACUUGUAAUUAGUACAUCAGUUCCUUAGUGCGAGCUUUAUACUAACACAAUUAUGUUCAUGCACUCGAGUAGUAUUGCAUGUCUUGACAGUUCAAUAAGUGGAAUCGAGAAAUUUGAAGUACAAUCGUUGGAUCAAUAGUUUUUCCCUGUCGUAGCCUCUCCUUUUUCUUAUGCUAUUUUUUAACCAUUUAGUUCUCAAGAAUUGUAUUUUAUAAUUAACAGGUGCGUGGAGAGUGAUUCUUGUUUGUAAAUAACUUAUUUGCAUCCGGUGCGUGCACGAUUUUAUUGAACUUGCGGAGCUGAAAUUAAAUAAUUUUGAAAGUUAGUUUGUAUCUGAUGUAGAAUAAAUUAACAAAAGUUAGUUUUUCGGGUUAUGAUUUAACACACUUUUUAUGGGUUAUGGUUUAACAUUCAUAUCAUUUUUUUUAUACCUUUUUUCCUUGAUCACGGAUCUUUAGAUAUUUUUUAACUUAAACCAUGGAAAAAAUGAGUAUAAAAGGAUAACAUGUGUCAUGCAUUUGGUUACAUCAGGUGUAAGUAAGACGUCUUUUUAGCCUGAUAACGUAAAAAAAUAAAGCAAUGUUGUGUAGUGGUUCCAUCUUGUAUAUGGCAUGUUCUUCGUAAUUAUUAAAUUCGUUAAGAAUUUACAAGAAUCUUUUUAAGGAUCUGAACCUGGAAAUAUAAUAUCAGUCCGUAUAAUUGUGAUGAGAAUCUGUAAAUUUGAUAUCACUCUCUCCCAAUCUAGGUUAGACCGUUUAAAGCUUCAGGCACUAAUCUAAUUGAACAUUUCGAAUGUGUUCUUUUUUUUUUUUUUUUUUACGUAAGGUGUCAUCUUCUUUAUUAAUCUUAGGAAGUUCUAAAAGGAUUUGGAGAUGAAAGCUAAGAUCUGGUCUUUAAAGUUCUCAUGAUGAGUGGGGUUUUGUCUGCUCUAAGAAUUGCUUACUCGUUUUUAUCCGUCGACUUAGGUGACUUGUGGAUGUGCUGCUGGAGUUGUUGCUUCCUUUAGAGCUCCUUUAAGUGGUGUAUUAUUUUCUCUUGAAGAGGUCACUUCUUGGUAGAGUUACCGCAUCAGCUAUAGAUUUUUUGAACUGGGUGGGACGUACAGCGAGAGCAGGCCAACCUGGUCUUGUUACAAGUCUCUAUAAAGAAUCAAAUCAUGAUCUUGUUGCUACCAUUCGUCAUGCAGAAAAAAAUUAAAAAAACAGUGAAACUUGGAGAAGGUGUGAAGGGUGUGUAUAUCUCUGUGGAUCUUGACUGUAUGGAUUCAGCAUUUGCUCCUAGGGAAUCUCAUACAGAGCUAGGGAGUCUCUCUUUCCAUGAUGUUUUAAACAUACGGCAUAACCUUCAAGCUGAUGUAGUUGGAGCUGAUGUCGUUGAGUUCAACCCACAGCGCGAUACUGUUGAUGGCAUGACUGCAAUGGUUGCUGCGAAGCUGGUAAGAGAACUUACUGCCAAGAUAUCCAAGUGACCUGCAGUAAUUCUAAAUUUAUGAGGGACGCAGACCAUGCAUCCUACGCUGACCACCGCUAGAUUUAUAUUCAUCCUUACUGGAAAGUUUGACAGAGGAUAAGCAGUAACAAAGUGUUUAUUCGCCUUAUUGUAGCCCUAAAAGCAUAUUAGGACUUAAAAUUGAAGUAGUAUUAGAUAGGUCUGGUAGAAACUCAGUUUUCUAUUGCAAGAUCAAGGUACUCAUCGGGGAAUAUUUCAAUUUUCAUGUCAUUGAUUGGAUUAUCUGUAAACUUGUUUCCCAAAAUAAGCUAUCUUUGCGGUUCCUUAUGAGUAACCUGUGACGCUUGCAUCUGGUAAGUGGUGCAGAUUAUGUUGUUUAUAAAUAUUAUCUCUAUCAAUGUAAAUAUGUGUUGGGCCUGUGCAACGCAUAUUUUUUUAGUCAACUCAUGAAUAAAAUAUUUUUUUAU
RNA transcript from Capsicum annuum, 3486 nucleotides. RefSeq lists it as uncharacterized. The transcript has 3 exons. NCBI's taxonomy places the organism in Eukaryota, Viridiplantae, Streptophyta, Magnoliopsida, Solanales, Solanaceae. The record is from RefSeq and is a predicted model, not a curated record.